GUUUCAUUUUAGCCUUAGGUUUUUAAAAAAGAAGAAGAAAAAAACAGUCUUUCUCUCCUUCCUUGUAGCCUUUUGUUUGGCCGACCAAGGAAGGCAUCGUCCCACCGCCGCACCGCCAUUGAACACGACGGUCGACGACGCGCGAGGGCGGGCUUUAAGCCGUGUUUCAAGGCGUCCCCGAAGGCUGAGCCUUCUCAGCCCAAAAGUUGCGAAAGAAAAAGUCUUCCCCUCCUUAUUCGGCCCGAUCCCGACGACGAAGGAAAACCCUCCGGCGACGAGAUGACGAGCGAUUCCGGUGUUAGAGGUGUGAAAAGCCGGUGGUUGGCUGGUGAGAAGGCGAGGCGGCGCACGUGGGGGCUGAGCGGCUGCUGCAUCUUGGGGAAGGGUUUGCUGCUGAAAAAUCUUAAGCAAGUGGGCUAUUAUUUGGGCUAGGGUUUGAUGUAAAUUGGGCUAUUUAAUAUUGUAAAUGGGCUAUUUAUUUUGGACUCUUUUUUAUUGUUUUGGGUUUUGUUAUAUUUUGUUGGCCAGGCCAAAAUUGGUUAUAACAACCAUGUUGAACAUAGGCUAACAAUAUAUUAGCUCUUAGAAAGGCUAAAUUAAUUUUGUAGCACCAAGAUUGGUUCGUUUCAUUACCAACAAGAAAAAUGUAUUUUAUUCCAAAAGAUAAUAUGCAUUGUUGUAUUGUCUACUGGACUAA
Molecule: long non-coding RNA, 697 nt
Organism: Gossypium arboreum
Lineage: Eukaryota; Viridiplantae; Streptophyta; Magnoliopsida; Malvales; Malvaceae
Exons: 2
Source: RefSeq, a predicted model, not a curated record